GGUCAGGAUGAACGCUAGCGGCAGGCUUAACACAUGCAAGUCGAGGGGCAUCGGGAGUAGCAAUACUUGCCGGCGACCGGCGCAAGGGUGCGUAACGCGUGAGCAACAUGCCCGUAUCAGGGGGAUAAUCCAUGGAAACGUGGUCUAAUACCCCAUAGUAAUUAUGUAAGGCAUCUUAUAUAAUUUAAAGCUUUGGUGGAUACGGAUUGGCUCGCGUGACAUUAGCUAGAUGGUAAGGUAACGGCUUACCAUGGCUACGAUGUCUAGGGGUUCUGAGAGGAAGGUCCCCCACACUGGAACUGAGACACGGUCCAGACUCCUACGGGAGGCAGCAGUGAGGAAUAUUGGACAAUGGAUGGAAAUCUGAUCCAGCCAUGCCGCGUGCAAGGAAGACGGCCCUAUGGGUUGUAAACUGCUUUUGUAUGGGAGCAAUAAGGGCUACGUGUAGUCCGAUGAGAGUACCAUACGAAUAAGCACCGGCUAACUCCGUGCCAGCCGCGGC
RNAcentral lists this ribosomal RNA (502 nucleotides) under uncultured bacterium. RNAcentral describes it as "bacterial SSU rRNA". It matches the Rfam family "Bacterial small subunit ribosomal RNA", at positions 22 to 518 of the family's 1533-position model. The record is from RNAcentral.